AUCUCCAUCCACCCAUCAGCUCUUGUUCGCGGUGACCUCACAACUGCACUAGUUUCCUCGCCCUCGGCUGGUAAACCAACAUUGCUUUCCUCUCCCUCGCUCUCGCUCUCAGGCAGUGGUUGAAAUGCCACCAACCUACGCCAACUUGGGAACCGAUAACGCCCAGUCCGCCUUCUCUGAACUGUGGCCGUGGCCUGCUGAGGAAGUAAGCAUACUUCAGAUUCAGAUACGUGGCUUCCCAACCUAACCGAUGCCUCUUGAUUCGGGUAGUUGAAGCUUCGUGAAUCAUGUGCAAGUUUGAAAAUAAGAUAGGCAGCAUAAUUUGUUCUUCGAGUGAGUACUUUACAGUCGAUCCUCCCAUGGAUCUCCAACCAGCAGACAUUCAAGAGCUCGGCAACCUCAGCAAAUCUGGAGCCGUCGAGCCGUCCCCACUUCCAGUAAUGGGGAGUGUCUCCCCAUAUAAUCACCAGUCCUCUCGCCGACAAAGUGUAACACUUACGACCGGUCAGCCUCUCCAGUGAAAAGCACAUCCUGCCUCCAUCAAUGAGGACAGGAUUGCAG
This 561-nucleotide unclassified non-coding RNA is filed under the name Hevea brasiliensis (rubber tree). Lineage: Eukaryota; Viridiplantae; Streptophyta; Magnoliopsida; Malpighiales; Euphorbiaceae. The record is from RNAcentral.